GAAUCCUAAUUCUCAAUCAUAGAGUCCCAAACACAUAAGACUCAUAAUCAGCCAUCAGAUCAGAAAGGAACCUCUAAUGUGUGUGACCCCGCAGGUUCGAACCUAAGCCGGUAGCACAGGAACCAAUUUCUGUACUAAUCGAAGUGACCAUCUAGCAAUGGUCCCUGAUGAUCGGAUAGGUCGAAUAGUCGCAAUCACAAUAUUCAGAACCUACAUGAAUAUGGUUACCGUAUAAUUCAUCCCUUUUGACCCCUGUGUUUAGGAUGACUCAGGGUUAAACUGUCAACCUUGAUUAGAUCAUCCGAGUCAUGUUCAACUCAAUCAGUCCUGUGACUCCUCACUAGGACUAUCCUGGUCAAGAUUUUGCUAAAUUGAAAUAUGACUGUACACAACUCCUAAACUGGAGUGGUCAAUCCCAUCUUGACACACGCACAGACAAGUCAAGUACUUGACUACACCCUGCAGCCUUCCAUCACUGAAUUAGAAAUUCAGGUAGUCCAGUGCCUAAGUGCAGUGAGUUGCUUGCAAGUCACCGUGGCGGUCUCAAGUCGGAGGGACAUUUAUACCCAUAUCCCAUCGGAGAAAAUCUUGACAGCAGAAAUAGCUCCGGAGUCGGUCACGUUUAGUGUAGAUGUACCAUUACAUCUCAUCUGUAUGCCAUACCAGUGUCUUCACACUCCUUGGUUAUGAGG
This 692-nucleotide long non-coding RNA is filed under the name Elaeis guineensis (African oil palm). RNAcentral describes it as "long non-coding RNA (EGUI_LNC033011)". The record is from RNAcentral. Lineage: Eukaryota; Viridiplantae; Streptophyta; Magnoliopsida; Arecales; Arecaceae.